UAGGGAAUCUUCGGCAAUGGGGGGAACCCUGACCGAGCAACGCCGCGUGAGUGAAGAAGGUUUUCGGAUCGUAAAGCUCUGUUGUUAAGGAAGAACGAGUGUGAGAAUGGAAAGUUCAUGCUGUGACGGUACUUAACCAGAAAGGGACGGCUAACUACGUGCCAGCAGCCGCGGUAAUACGUAGGUCCCGAGCGUUGUCCGGAUUUAUUGGGCGUAAAGCGAGCGCAGGCGGUUAGAAAAGUCUGAAGUGAAAGGCAGUGGCUCAACCAUUGUAGGCUUUGGAAACUGUUUAACUUGAGUGCAAGAGAGGAGGGUGGAAUUCCAUGUGUAGCAGUGAAGUGCGUAGAUAUAUGGAGGAACGCCGGUGGCGAAAGCGGCUCGCUGGUCUGUAACUGACGGUGGGGAUCGAAAGCGUGGGGAGCGAACAGG
Molecule: ribosomal RNA, 429 nt
Filed under: Bacteroidota bacterium
Lineage: Bacteria; Pseudomonadati; Bacteroidota
Description: Bacteroidetes bacterium partial 16S ribosomal RNA
Rfam family: Bacterial small subunit ribosomal RNA
Source: RNAcentral